GACGAACGCUGGCGGCGUGCUUAACACAUGCAAGUCGAACGGAAAGGCCCUGUUUGUGUGGGGUGCUCGGGGGGCGAACGGGUGAGUAGCAAGUGAGUAACCUGCCCUUGACUUUGGGAUAACUUCAGGAAGCUGGGGCUAAUACCGGAUAGGCGCUCCUGCUGCAGGGUGGGGGUUGGCACGUUUCGGCGGGUGGGGAUGGACUCGCGGCUUAUCAGCUUGUGGGUGGGGGGUUGGCUUACCAAGGCUUUGACGGGCAGCCGGCCGGAGAGGGGGACCGGCCAAAUGGGGACUGAGAUACGGCCCGGACUCCUACGGGAGGAGGCAGUGGGGAAUAUUGAACAAGGGGCGGAGGCCGGAGGCAGCAACGCCGCGUGGGGGAUGACGGCCUUCGGGUUGUAACCCGCUUCCGCCUGUGACGAAGCGUGAGUGACGGUAAUGGGUAAAGAAGCACCGGCUAACUACGUG
Molecule: ribosomal RNA, 468 nt
Filed under: uncultured bacterium
Lineage: Bacteria
Description: partial 16S ribosomal RNA
Rfam family: Bacterial small subunit ribosomal RNA
Source: RNAcentral